Molecule: ribosomal RNA, 289 nt
Filed under: Diodon liturosus (black-blotched porcupinefish)
Lineage: Eukaryota; Metazoa; Chordata; Actinopteri; Tetraodontiformes; Diodontidae
Description: partial 12S ribosomal RNA
Rfam family: Bacterial small subunit ribosomal RNA
Source: RNAcentral
UGCCAGCCGCCGCGGUUAUACGAGAGACCCAAGUUGUUAGGCAUCGGCGUAAAGGGUGGUUAAGGCAAAUACCCAAACUAAAGCCGAACAUCUUCCAAGCCGUCAUACGCACACGAAGACAAGAAGCCCAAUAACGAAAGUGGCUCUAACCUGCCUGAACCCACGAAAGCUAUGACACAAACUGGGAUUAGAUACCCCACUAUGCCUAGCCCUAAACAUUGACAGUAAAUUCACUAACUGUCCGCCUGGGAACUACGAGCACCAGCUUAAAACCCAAAGGACUUGGCGG